AUUGAACGCUGGCGGCAGGCUUAACACAUGCAAGUCGAACGGUAACAUAAAGAAGCUUGCUUCUUUGAUGACGAGUGGCGGACGGGUGAGUAAUGCUUGGGAAUCUAGCUUAUGGAGGGGGAUAACUACGGGAAACUGUAGCUAAUACCGCGUAGAAUCGAGAGAUGAAAGUGUGGGACCUUCGGGCCACAUGCCAUAGGAUGAGCCCAAGUGGGAUUAGGUAGUUGGUGAGGUAAAGGCUCACCAAGCCGACGAUCUCUAGCUGGUCUGAGAGGAUGACCAGCCACACUGGGACUGAGACACGGCCCAGACUCCUACGAGAGGCAGCAGUGGGGAAUAUUGCGCAAUGGAGGCAACCCUGACGCAGCCAUGCCGCGUGAAUGAAGAAGGCCUUCGGGUUGUAAAGUUCUUUCGGUAGCGAGGAAGGCAUUUAGUUUAAUAGACUAGGUGAUUGACGUUAACUACAGAAGAAGCACCGGCUAACUCCGUGCCAGCAGCCGCGGUAAUACGGAGGGUGCGAGCGUUAAUCGGAAUAACUGGGCGUAAAGGGCACGCAGGCGGUGACUUAAGUGAGGUGUGAAAGCCCCGGGCUUAACCUGGGAAUUGCAUUUCAUACUGGGUCGCUAGAGUACUUUAGGGAGGGGUAGAAUUCCACGUGUAGCGGUGAAAUGCGUAGAGAUGUGGAGGAAUACCGAAGGCGAAGGCAGCCCCUUGGGAAUGUACUGACGCUCAUGUGCGAAAGCGUGGGGAGCAAACAGG
This 759-nucleotide ribosomal RNA is filed under the name Parahaemophilus parainfluenzae. Its description in RNAcentral is "Haemophilus parainfluenzae bacterial SSU rRNA". It matches the Rfam family "Bacterial small subunit ribosomal RNA", at positions 28 to 776 of the family's 1533-position model. The record is from RNAcentral. Lineage: Bacteria; Pseudomonadati; Pseudomonadota; Gammaproteobacteria; Pasteurellales; Pasteurellaceae.